Molecule: long non-coding RNA, 475 nt
Filed under: Panax ginseng (ginseng)
Lineage: Eukaryota; Viridiplantae; Streptophyta; Magnoliopsida; Apiales; Araliaceae
Description: long non-coding RNA (PGIN_LNC016551)
Source: RNAcentral
UUUUUAUUCACUUUGUGUAAUAUGAACAUGAUGAUGAUAUUGUUAAGGGAAAUGAUAUUUCCACAUAUAAUUUUGAUAUUUCCACAUGUGCUCCGCUCACAUAAAGGUGGGACCCACCCUACUCUCAUGUGAGAGAAGACCACGUGGAAAUAUCAAAGUUACAUGUGGAAAUAGUGCUCCCCUAUUGUUAUGAUGUUUAAUUCUAUAAUUAUGAACUAAACUUCUAUUUUAAGAUUGCAAUGUAACCUAAUGAUUAGUUAAAUCGAAUUUCUCUCAUGUUUAUUAUAAUGAAUCACAUGUUUAUGAGUUAUUAUAUUUCAUGCUUCGUGUAUUAAUUACUUAGCCAAGUGAUUAAUGUGGAUAUUUAUAUGAUAUUGGAAAAUGGAUUAUAAAACAUAUAUCUAAAUAUAAUAACACAUGUUAUAAGCAUUUUUCUUAGGAUUGAAUGUGUGAGGUCCCCGAAUCCAGAUACUUG